Molecule: long non-coding RNA, 1025 nt
Filed under: Ursus maritimus (polar bear)
Lineage: Eukaryota; Metazoa; Chordata; Mammalia; Carnivora; Ursidae
Description: lncRNA (ENSUMAG00000013172.1)
Source: RNAcentral
UAAAAAUCGGGGGUCUUUUUAUGAUGUUUUAGGUCUGAAGAUUUACGACGAGAAUUUGGUCGUUAUGGUCCUAUAGUUGAUGUGUAUGUUCCACUUGAUUUCUACACGCGCCGUCCAAGAGGAUUUGCUUAUGUUCAAUAUCCUUUCUUCAGAUGGCUGAUUAGUGAGGGGUGUUGAAGUUUGAAAUUCAAGUUUAUGUAAGAGAGAAUGUAAAGCUGUACAGUUAUGGCGACCCCAAAGAGAAAGCAUGAAAGAACCUUUAGAGUAGAGUUCAACACUUAAGGCAAGUAGACAAGCCAAAGACCUCUUAAGGAUCAGGCUUGAAGAGAAGGGAGAGUUUGGGAAAAGAAAAAAUAAAGAAAAGCUGGAAGAAGGACAAGCCUAAUGGGAGACAAAGCCUCGCUUUAUCUACAAAAGGGGGAAAAGGUUGUUUUUCAAAGUUAAAGAUAAAGCCAUCUGUCAUAUUUGGCCAAGCAUCUCAUGACAAGUCCUUCUGACAAGCACUUAAAGAGUUAAAGGUCAAGAUGAAGUUGAAUGAUGGCCAAGAUUAAAGGAGUCAUACCUGAUAUGUCCGCGAUGCCGAAGACGCUUUACAUAAUUUGGACAGAAAAUGGAUUUGUGGACGCCAAAUUGAAAUACAGUUUGCACAGGGGGAUCGGAAAAGUAAGUAUCCUUAUGCUUGAUAUAUGUAUAUAUAUAAUACUUCAUUUUUAAACAGUGCUUUGAUAUCUCUUUUUGGAAGUAUUUGCAAUUUGUCUAUGUUCAAAAUCUAAAAAGAGUUUUUGAAAAGAUAGAGUAUCUCACAUACUUUGCAAAAAGGUAGAAUGUGAAGAUUAAAAUGCCUGAAAUGUGUUUGGACUUGGGGAUGGAAUUAAAAGGGAAAUAAUUUGGAAAGUAUUGGGUCUUUUCAGCCGUUCGUCUUCAUAAAGAUCUUCAAGGUAUAAUUGGGUAUUUGGGUGCUUGGCUGUGGAAAUGGACAGAUAAAAUUGAGAAGGAUUACAGGUGAAACCUAGAAUCGGUUUUAU